GCCUGGUGGUUCCUAGACUCAGCUCUCACAUGCUGAACUGUGGGUUAUGAUUAACAGGCAGAUAUUAAUUCUGCAAUUUAUGCAUGGGAGCUGCCAGUGUAGCAGCGUUCCAUAGCCCGGUUGCAGGCACACGG
This is a small nucleolar RNA of Thalassophryne amazonica, 134 nucleotides long. RefSeq annotates it as small nucleolar RNA SNORA84. NCBI's taxonomy places the organism in Eukaryota, Metazoa, Chordata, Actinopteri, Batrachoidiformes, Batrachoididae. The record is from RefSeq and is a predicted model, not a curated record. The transcript has a single exon.